UGGGGAAUUUUGGACAAUGGGCGAAAGCCUGAUCCAGCAAUGCCGCGUGUGUGAAGAAGGCCUUCGGGUUGUAAAGCACUUUUGUCCGGAAAGAAAUCCUUGGCUCUAAUACAGUCGGGGGAUGACGGUACCGGAAGAAUAAGCACCGGCUAACUACGUGCCAGCAGCCGCGGUAAUACGUAGGGUGCAAGCGUUAAUCGGAAUUACUGGGCGUAAAGCGUGCGCAGGCGGUUUGCUAAGACCGAUGUGAAAUCCCCGGGCUCAACCUGGGAACUGCAUUGGUGACUGGCAGGCUAGAGUAUGGCAGAGGGGGUAGAAUUCCACGUGUAGCAGUGAAAUGCGUAGAGAUGUGGAGGAAUACCGAUGGCGAAGGCAGCCCCCUGGGCCAAUACUGACGCUCAUGCACGAAAGCGUGGGGAGCAAACAGGAUUAGAUACCCUGGUAGUCCACGCCCUAAACGAUGUCAACUAGUUGUUGGGGAUUCAUUUCCUUAGUAACGUAGCUAACGCGUGAAGUUGACCGCCUGGGGAGUACGGUCGC
Molecule: ribosomal RNA, 540 nt
Filed under: uncultured bacterium
Lineage: Bacteria
Description: partial 16S ribosomal RNA
Rfam family: Bacterial small subunit ribosomal RNA
Source: RNAcentral